This 486-nucleotide ribosomal RNA is filed under the name uncultured bacterium. RNAcentral describes it as "partial 16S ribosomal RNA". It matches the Rfam family "Bacterial small subunit ribosomal RNA", at positions 899 to 1397 of the family's 1533-position model. The record is from RNAcentral.
ACUCAAAGGAAUUGACGGGGACCCGCACAAGCAGCGGAGCGUGUGGUUUAAUUCGAGGCUACGCGAAGAACCUUACCAGGGUUUGACAUGCAGGUAGUAGGGAAGUGAAAGCGGACCGACCCUUCGGGGAGCCUGCACAGGUGAUGCAUGGCUGUCGUCAGCUCGUGCCGUGAGGUGUUUGGUUAAGUCCACUAACGAGCGCAACCCUUAGGGCCAGUUACACGUGUCUGGCCCGACUGCCGGUAUCAAGCCGGAGGAAGGUGGGGAUGACGUCAAGUCAGCAUGUCCUUUAUAUCCUGGGCGACACACACGCUACAAUGGCCGGUACAGAGGGUCGCGAAGCCGCGAGGCGGAGCCAAUCCUACAAAGCUGGUCUCAGUUCGGAUUGGAGGCUGCAACUCGCCUCCAUGAAGUCGGAGUUGCUAGUAACCGCCGGACAGCGAUACGGCGGUGAAUACGUUCCCGGGUCUUGUACACACCGCCCGU